AUUGAACGCUGGCGGCAUGCCUUACACAUGCCAGUCGAACGGCAGCAUGAUCUAGCUUGCUAGAUUGAUGGCGAGUGGCGAACGGGUGAGUAAUACAUCGGAACGUGCCCUGUAGUGGGGGAUAACUAGUCGAAAGAUUAGCUAAUACCGCAUACGACCUGAGGGUGAAAGUGGGGGACCGCAAGGCCUCAUGCUAUAGGAGCGGCCGAUGUCUGAUUAGCUAGUUGGUGAGGUAAAGGCUCACCAAGGCGACGAUCAGUAGCUGGUCUGAGAGGAUGAUCAGCCACACUGGGACUGAGACACGGCCCAGACUCCUACGGGAGGCAGCAGUGGGGAAUUUUGGACAAUGGGCGAAAGCCUGAUCCAGCAAUGCCGCGUGUGUGAAGAAGGCCUUCGGGUUGUAAAGCACUUUUGUCCGGAAAGAAAUGGCUCUGGUUAAUACCUGGGGUCGAUGACGGUACCGGAAGAAUAAGGACCGGCUAACUACGUG
Molecule: ribosomal RNA, 490 nt
Filed under: uncultured bacterium
Lineage: Bacteria
Description: partial 16S ribosomal RNA
Rfam family: Bacterial small subunit ribosomal RNA
Source: RNAcentral